UACUCCUACGGGAGGCAGCAGUGGGGAAUAUUGCACAAUGGGCGCAAGCCUGAUGCAGCCAUGCCGCGUGUGUGAAGAAGGCCUUAGGGUUGUAAAGCACUUUCAGCGAGGAGGAAGGCAUCAUACUUAAUACGUGUGGUGAUUGACGUUACUCGCAGAAGAAGCACCGGCUAACUCCGUGCCAGCAGCCGCGGUAAUACGGAGGGUGCAAGCGUUAAUCGGAAUUACUGGGCGUAAAGCGCACGCAGGCGGUUUGUUAAGUCAGAUGUGAAAUCCCCGAGCUUAACUUGGGAACUGCAUUUGAAACUGGCAAGCUAGAGUCUUGUAGAGGGGGGUAGAAUUCCAGGUGUAGCGGUGAAAUGCGUAGAGAUCUGGAGGAAUACCGGUGGCGAAGGCGGCCCCCUGGACAAAGAC
This 414-nucleotide ribosomal RNA is filed under the name Rahnella aquatilis. RNAcentral's name for it is "bacterial SSU rRNA". It matches the Rfam family "Bacterial small subunit ribosomal RNA", at positions 334 to 740 of the family's 1533-position model. Lineage: Bacteria; Pseudomonadati; Pseudomonadota; Gammaproteobacteria; Enterobacterales; Yersiniaceae. The record is from RNAcentral.